Molecule: non-coding RNA, 239 nt
Organism: Paramuricea clavata
Lineage: Eukaryota; Metazoa; Cnidaria; Anthozoa; Malacalcyonacea; Plexauridae
Source: the annotation of a GenBank genome assembly
CGGGCCUUGAAAAUCCUGGAAAGUCCUUGAAUUGGAAAAAAUCAUUCCAGGACUGGAAAGUCCUUGAAAAUCAGUAGAAGUCCUUGAAAGUCCUGGAAUUAAUUUCCUUAACCUCCAGCUGUGCCAACAUUAGUGAUUUUGAUUAAAAUUACUGAAUAAAGUGAAUUAUUUACGGCAAAUCUGUGCCAUUUUCAAAGAUAUUUCCCAGUUCCAGGUCCUUGAAUUUACUGAAAAAGGGC